RNAcentral lists this ribosomal RNA (468 nucleotides) under uncultured bacterium. Its description in RNAcentral is "partial 16S ribosomal RNA". It matches the Rfam family "Bacterial small subunit ribosomal RNA", at positions 28 to 507 of the family's 1533-position model. The record is from RNAcentral.
GACGAACGCUGGCGGCGUGCUUAACACAUGCAAGUCGAACGGAAAGGCCCUGCUUUUGUUGGGUGCUCGAGUGGCGAACGGGUGAGUAACACGUGAGUAACCUGCCCUUGACUUUGGGAUAACUUCAGGAAACUGGUGCUAAUACCUGAUAGGAGCUCCUGCUGCAUGGUGGGGGUUGGAAAGUUUCGGCUGUUGGGGAUGGACUCGCGGGUUAUCAGCUUGUUGGUGGGGUAGUGGCUUACCAAGGCUUUGAAGGGUAGCCGGCAUGAGAGGGGGACCGGGGACAAGGGGACUAAGAGACGGCGCAGAGUGCUACGGGAGGCAGCAGGGGGGAAUAUGACACAAUGGGCGGAAGCGUGAUGAAGAGGCGUCGCGUGCGUGAUGACGGCCUGUGGGGUGUAAACCGCUUUCGCCUGUGACGAAGGGUGAGUGACGGUAAUGGGUAAAGAAGCACCGGCUAACUACGUG